This 492-nucleotide ribosomal RNA is filed under the name uncultured bacterium. Its description in RNAcentral is "partial 16S ribosomal RNA". It matches the Rfam family "Bacterial small subunit ribosomal RNA", at positions 29 to 507 of the family's 1533-position model. The record is from RNAcentral.
AGUGAACGCUGGCGGUAGGCCUAACACAUGCAAGUCGAACGGCAGCACAGUAAGAGCUUGCUCUUACGGGUGGCGAGUGGCGGACGGGUGAGGAAUACAUCGGAAUCUACUUUUUCGUGGGGGAUAACGUAGGGAAACUUACGCUAAUACCGCAUAUGACCUACGGGUGAAAGCAGGGGAUCUUCGGACCUUGCGCGAUUGAAUGAGCCGAUGUCGGAUUAGCUAGUUGGCGGGGUAAAGGCCCACCAAGGCGACGAUCCGUAGCUGGUCUGAGAGGAUGAUCAGCCACACUGGAACUGAGACACGGUCCAGACUCCUACGGGAGGCAGCAGUGGGGAAUAUUGGACAAUGGGCGCAAGCCUGAUCCAGCCAUACCGCGUGGGUGAAGAAGGCCCUCGGGUUGUAAAGCCCUUUUGUUGGGAAAGAAAAGCAGCAGGUUAAUACCCCGCUGUUCUGACGGUACCCAAAGAAUAAGCACCGGCUAACUUCGUG